UCCUCCCUCAAACCUCCGGGUUUGGUGUUGGACCACGUCGGACCCCUCUGGCGGUCGACGGGUCUCAAAGACAAUGACGGCGUCCGUGGGACCCUCUUCGCACUGAGCUUUCCGGAGCACGCGUCGAGUUGCAAGGUCUCGGGGACCCGGCCUCAACUAUUUAUCUUUCA
RNAcentral lists this unclassified non-coding RNA (170 nucleotides) under uncultured Trichomeriaceae. Its description in RNAcentral is "sequence contains ITS2". Lineage: Eukaryota; Fungi; Ascomycota; Eurotiomycetes; Chaetothyriales. The record is from RNAcentral.